UACAGAGGGGACUAGCGUUGUUCGGAAUUACUGGGCGUAAAGCGCACGUAGGCGGAUUUGUAAGUCAGGGGUGAAAUCCCGGGGCUCAACCUCGGAACUGCCUUUGAUACUGCAAAUCUCGAGUCCGGAAGAGGUGAGUGGAAUUCCUAGUGUAGAGGUGAAAUUCGUAGAUAUUAGGAAGAACACCAGUGGCGAAGGCGGCUCACUGGUCCGGUACUGACGCUGAGGUGCGAAAGCGUGGGGAGCAAACAGG
This 253-nucleotide ribosomal RNA is filed under the name uncultured bacterium. RNAcentral's name for it is "partial 16S ribosomal RNA". It matches the Rfam family "Bacterial small subunit ribosomal RNA", at positions 524 to 776 of the family's 1533-position model. The record is from RNAcentral.